RNAcentral lists this long non-coding RNA (1306 nucleotides) under Lupinus angustifolius (narrow-leaved blue lupine). RNAcentral's name for it is "long non-coding RNA (LANG_LNC000867)". The record is from RNAcentral. Lineage: Eukaryota; Viridiplantae; Streptophyta; Magnoliopsida; Fabales; Fabaceae.
UUUACUCAGGUCAUAUGGGCGGAUCCAUUAACAAAGCAACGUCUACGUUAUAACCGUAGGUGAGGCCGCCAAAAUCUCAGUGAGGACACAGCAACAUUGAAGAAUCACAAAUUGGAUUCUUCAACAUCCCCACUCUAUAACUUCCAUCUUUAUACUUGUUUUCAUUUCUCAGUUAGAUAUUCCAAAACCCUUCUAUGAUUUAAUCAAGUUUAUUGUUAUGGUUUGCUCUUGAAAUUAUCGAUUUUAUGCUUUAGUUUUUAUAAUAUAAAACUUUUUUUCAACUAUCAUUAUAGAUCUUACUUGAUUGUAGCUGGCCAUCAAUCAAUAUACCCUAUAUUUUGAGUUUGAAUAUAGGCUUAUAUCUUUGAUUUUAAUUACCUUGGCUUUCAAAAUGUUACUUUUAGUAGCAAUAGGUUUUGUUUAUUAUUCAUUUUCAGCACUAGUUUUUUUUCUUCUAGAGAUGAUAGGAAAAGUAAAGGUUAUUCUACAUGGACAGUGUAUAAUGUGAUGAUUUGUGGCAGGUACUUCUGAUAUAGUCAUGUCCAGCAUUCUCCAGGUGCAGCACACCACAAUGUAGCUGUGCCGAGAGCCUGGAAUUUGUGUCCAUGAUUACAUAAACAUCUGUUAACUGAUUUAUUCACUGUCCAUGUUUAGCCUCAUUUUUUAGAUAAUAAAAUCGGCUUCAUGCAUCGGGAUCGGAUGGGGUAUGAAAAGGGUAAAUGUAUGCAACUAUACUCUUGAAAGAGCGAGGAGACUGUUUUUUAGGAUUUGAACCUAUAAACAAACAACAUUACUGUUGCACUGCCGAGGCUCACCAUCUUCAUUUUAGAAAUGAAAUCAAAACUUUUUGCUCCUUUAAUUUCUCUUUGUGCUAUUAGCAUAGAACUUUUUGUUUUUUGUUUGUUUUAAUUUCUAAGUAGAUACUCUGCUAGCAAUGCUAUAACUGUAUCAGUUUGUUUGAGCAGGGUCAUGAUCAUAUACUUCUAGAUGAGAAAUUGGAUGAUAGAUCAAAGAGCAGCUUUGAUUCUAAUCUCAGCAAUUCAGAAUCAAAACAUAAUUCAAAAUCUAAGCAAUGUAUGUGAUCACCAUCUAAUAGCUCAAAUUUGUAGAAGUGGCCAAUUUUCAAGGUCACCCAAUAUUUUCUUACUUAUAAGUUGCUUAUCUCUAUGCAAUAGAUAAACAUCAUGGUGAAGUAGGCAUGCUUACCUAAAUGAUUGUCUUACUGAGGUUUACAAUUGUUGUCAUGGUUUUAAUUUGUGGCUAGCAAGGGCAAUUAUAAUUGUGAUAUUUUAGUUUUGGCAAUUUC